GAGCACGUAGGUGGGUUUGUAAGUCAGAUGUGAAAGCCUUCUGUUCAACGGAAGAAUUGCAUCUGAAACUGCGAGUCUUGAGUGUAGGAGGGGAGAAUGGAACUUCUGGUGGAGCGGUGAAAUGCGUAGAUAUCAGAAGGAACUCCGGCGGCGAAAGCGAUUCUCUGGCCUAUUACUGACACUCAGUGUGCGAAGGCUAGGGGAGCAAACGGGAUUAGAUACCCCGGUAGUCCUAGCCGUAAACGAUGGGCACUAAGUAGAGGGGUUUU
This 269-nucleotide ribosomal RNA is filed under the name uncultured Planctomycetales bacterium. RNAcentral describes it as "partial 16S ribosomal RNA". It matches the Rfam family "Bacterial small subunit ribosomal RNA", at positions 565 to 832 of the family's 1533-position model. The record is from RNAcentral. Lineage: Bacteria; Pseudomonadati; Planctomycetota; Planctomycetia; Planctomycetales.